AGUCGAGGGGUAUUUAUCUUCGGAUAGAGAGACCGGCGCACGGGUGCGUAACGCGUAUGCAAUCUACCUUUUACAGAGGGAUAGCCCAGAGAAAUUUGGAUUAAUACCUCAUAGUAUUAUGAAAUGGCAUCAUUUUAUAAUUAAAGUCACAACGGUAAAAGAUGAGCAUGCGUCCCAUUAGCUAGUUGGUAAGGUAACGGCUUACCAAGGCUACGAUGGGUAGGGGUCCUGAGAGGGAGAUCCCCCACACUGGUACUGAGACACGGACCAGACUCCUACGGGAGGCAGCAGUGAGGAAUAUUGGACAAUGGGCGCAAGCCUGAUCCAGCCAUGCCGCGUGCAGGAUGACGGUCCUAUGGAUUGUAAACUGCUUUUAUACGAGAAGAAACACUCCAACGUGUUGGAGCUUGACGGUAUCGUAAGAAUAAGGAUCGGCUAACUCCGUGCCAGCAGCCGCGGUAAUACGGAGGAUCCAAGCGUUAUCCGGAAUCAUUGGGUUUAAAGGGUCCGUAGGCGGUUUAGUAAGUCAGUGGUGAAAGCCCAUCGCUCAACGGUGGAACGGCCAUUGAUACUGCUGAACUUGAAUUAUUAGGAAGUAACUAGAAUAUGUAGUGUAGCGGUGAAAUGCUUAGAGAUUACAUGGAAUACCAAUUGCGAAGGCAGGUUACUACUAAUGGAUUGACGCUGAUGGACGAAAGCGUGGGUAGCGAACAGGAUUGGAUACCCUGGUAGUCCACGCCGUAAACGAUGGAUACUAGCUGUUGGGAGCAAUCUCAGUGGCUAAGCGAAAGUGAUAAGUAUCCCACCUGGGGAGUA
RNAcentral lists this ribosomal RNA (816 nucleotides) under uncultured Bacteroidota bacterium. RNAcentral's name for it is "bacterial SSU rRNA". It matches the Rfam family "Bacterial small subunit ribosomal RNA", at positions 60 to 882 of the family's 1533-position model. Lineage: Bacteria; Pseudomonadati; Bacteroidota. The record is from RNAcentral.